This 63-nucleotide transfer RNA is filed under the name Paratomella rubra. Its description in RNAcentral is "tRNA-Tyr". Lineage: Eukaryota; Metazoa; Xenacoelomorpha; Acoela; Paratomellidae. The record is from RNAcentral.
GAUAAUAUAGUUUAUAAUAUUAAAAUUAAAAAUUGUAAAUUUUUAGAACUUAGGGUGUUAUUA